GCGGAUGCAGUUCAAUGGCAGAAUGUGAGCUUCCCAAGCUCGACAUGCGUGUUCGAUUCCCGUCAUCCGCUCAA
RNAcentral lists this transfer RNA (74 nucleotides) under Candidatus Methylopumilus rimovensis. RNAcentral's name for it is "tRNA-Gly". It matches the Rfam family "tRNA". Rfam says of the family: Transfer RNA (tRNA) molecules are approximately 80 nucleotides in length. Their secondary structure includes four short double-helical elements and three loops (D, anti-codon, and T loops). The record is from RNAcentral. Lineage: Bacteria; Pseudomonadati; Pseudomonadota; Betaproteobacteria; Nitrosomonadales; Methylophilaceae.